GUAAGGUCUGUUGUCAGGCCAGAACAGUGCGUGCGAAUAGAGCGGACCUUGACGGUACCUGACGAGGAAGCCCCGGCUAACUACGUGCCAGCAGCCGCGGUAAUACGUAGGGGGCAAGCGUUGUCCGGAAUUAUUGGGCGUAAAGCGCGCGCAAGCGGUUCCUUAAGUCUGAUGUGAAAGCCCACGGCUCAACCGUGGAAGGUCAUUUGGAAACUGGGGAACUUGAAUACAGAAGAGGAGAGUGGAAUUCCACGUGUAACGGUGAAAUGCGUAAAUAUGUGCGAGGAACACCAGUGGCGAAUGCGAAUCUCUGGUCUGUAACUGACGCUGAUGCGCGAAAGCGUGGGGAGCAAACAGGAUUAGAUACCCUGGUAGUCCACGCCGUAAACGAUGAGUGCUACGUGUUACGGGGCUUACAACCCUUAGUGCU
This 430-nucleotide ribosomal RNA is filed under the name uncultured bacterium. Its description in RNAcentral is "bacterial SSU rRNA". It matches the Rfam family "Bacterial small subunit ribosomal RNA", at positions 425 to 847 of the family's 1533-position model. The record is from RNAcentral.